CUUUCGUUUCCAUGCCUACCGGUUGGAGGUUUUGUACCUAGUGUACUUGAGUAGAACAGUAUCAAUUCAAGCACAAUUUACCUGGGUCCUGACUAGAAAUAUGGACUGGUACAUUUGGAUGUUACAAGAGAUUCCAUCCCGGGUACCUGUUUUCUAGAAAUGGCACUGGAAGACAACCUAGCGUGUAUGGGACAAGACCUGUCAUCUACAAGCGUGAAGCCCUCUGCCAGCCCCUUAACCUGCUGGCCACGUGCACACAGUCUGCUCUCACAGUCACCUUUAGUCAUAGCAAAUGCAGUCUUCUGUCCAGAAAAGGAAGCCAAGUUCUUAUCCUAAGAGCCGGAACCCCUACCUUCUCUUUGAGGAGUGGACAAUGUACGUACAGAAUACAGCUUUGCUUACUUUCUGUCCUAAUAUCCUGGGGCUACUGUGUCUUGCUCCAAGCCUCUCUGAUUCUAUUCUGGACAUCUCUCAAUAGACAUUUCUGUAUCUUGUUACCAAACACAAACAUGGAUAUAAGAAUUUUUAAGAUUCGAAGCCCUAUGCUAGUCAUAACUGAUUCACAUGUCAAGGGUCUUUGAUGUUGAAUUGUUAAUUGUCUUCCAUGCAAGUCUCAUCUCAGUAGCUAUAAAAUGUUCAACACAGAGAGAAAAAUAUACUUUUUAAGCCAUGAGCAGCUAAUGGAUGGAGUAGCUUACAUCAGAAAGAUAAAACCUGUUGCUACCGACUUUGGAUGGGAAUUUAUAACUCUAUAUUUUUGAGAAUUUUUGUUUUGCCUUUUGCAACAGGGUCUCACUAUGUAGUUCAGGCUGGCCUUGAGCUCUCUUUGUAGCCCAGGCUGGCCUCGAACUGGCAGCAAGC
RNAcentral lists this long non-coding RNA (861 nucleotides) under Chinchilla lanigera (long-tailed chinchilla). Its description in RNAcentral is "lncRNA (ENSCLAG00000023609.1)". Lineage: Eukaryota; Metazoa; Chordata; Mammalia; Rodentia; Chinchillidae. The record is from RNAcentral.